This 69-nucleotide transfer RNA is filed under the name Marmota marmota marmota (Alpine marmot). It matches the Rfam family "tRNA". Rfam says of the family: Transfer RNA (tRNA) molecules are approximately 80 nucleotides in length. Their secondary structure includes four short double-helical elements and three loops (D, anti-codon, and T loops). Further hydrogen bonds mediate the characteristic L-shaped molecular structure. tRNAs have two regions of fundamental functional importance: the anti-codon, which is responsible for specific mRNA codon recognition, and the 3' end, to which the tRNAs corresponding amino acid is attached (by aminoacyl-tRNA synthetases). tRNAs cope with the degeneracy of the genetic code in two manners: having more than one tRNA (with a specific anti-codon) for a particular amino acid; and 'wobble' base-pairing, i.e. permitting non-standard base-pairing at the 3rd anti-codon position. Lineage: Eukaryota; Metazoa; Chordata; Mammalia; Rodentia; Sciuridae. The record is from Rfam by way of RNAcentral. RNAcentral also lists the same sequence under 1 other name.
GGGGAUAUAGCUCAGUGAUAGAGCACUUGCUUAGCAUGUGCAAGGGCUUGGGUUCAAUCCCUAACACCA